RNAcentral lists this transfer RNA (73 nucleotides) under Haliotis rufescens (red abalone). RNAcentral's name for it is "tRNA-Thr". It matches the Rfam family "tRNA". From Rfam's summary of the family: Transfer RNA (tRNA) molecules are approximately 80 nucleotides in length. Their secondary structure includes four short double-helical elements and three loops (D, anti-codon, and T loops). Lineage: Eukaryota; Metazoa; Mollusca; Gastropoda; Lepetellida; Haliotidae. The record is from RNAcentral.
GCCUCCGUAGCUCAGUGGUAAGAACACUGGUCUCGUAAACCAGGGGUCGUGAGUUCGAUCCUCACCGGGGGCU